GUUAGGAAUAUUGGACAAUGGGCGAAAGCCUGAUCCAGCCAUGCCGCGUGAACGAUGAAGGCCUUCGGGUUGUAAAGUUCUUUAGCCGAUGAUUAUAAUGACUGUAGUCGGAAAAUAAGCCCCGGCUAACUUCGUGCCAGCAGCCGCGGUAAUACGAAGGGGGCGAGCGUUAUUCGGAAUCACUGGGCGUAAAGCGUGCGUAGGCGGUUUUGUAAGUUAGGAGUGAAAGCCCAGGGCUCAACCUUGGAAUCGCUCUUAAAACUGCAAGGCUCGAAUCUCGGAGAGGAUAGCGGAAUUUCCAGUGUAGCAGUGAAAUGCGUAGAUAUUGGAAGGAACACCAGUGGCGUAAGCGGCUAUCUGGACGAGUAUUGACGCUGAGGCACGAAAGCGUGGGGAUCAAACAGGAUUAGAUACCCGGGUAGUCC
Molecule: ribosomal RNA, 425 nt
Filed under: uncultured bacterium
Lineage: Bacteria
Description: partial 16S ribosomal RNA
Rfam family: Bacterial small subunit ribosomal RNA
Source: RNAcentral